UACAGAGGUCUCAAGCGUUGUUCGGAUUCAUUGGGCGUAAAGGGUGCGUAGGCGGCGCGGUAAGUCGGGUGUGAAAUCUCGGGGCUUAGCUCCGAAACUGCAUUCGAUACUGCCGUGCUUGAGGACUGGAGAGGAGACUGGAAUUUACGGUGUAGCGGUGAAAUGCGUAGAUAUCGGGAGGAACACCUGUGGCGAAGGCGGGUCUCUGGACAGUUCCUGACACUGAGGCACGAAGGCCAGGGGAGCAAACGGG
RNAcentral lists this ribosomal RNA (253 nucleotides) under uncultured bacterium. RNAcentral's name for it is "partial 16S ribosomal RNA". It matches the Rfam family "Bacterial small subunit ribosomal RNA", at positions 524 to 776 of the family's 1533-position model. The record is from RNAcentral.